CUUUCAACAAAAAAACGAGAUUCAGAGAAGUAAGCAAUUCAAGAUUUGAUAUAUUUCACUACAACAUUCUUGAAAAAUGAGUUGUUUUUCUUGCUUCUCCUCUCAUGACAAGAAAACAGCUAAAAGGUCAAGUAGCAGCAAAAGAUCACGGCCACAGCCACCCAUCUCUCCUCCUCAUAAAAAAGAAAACAAUAUUGCAGCACCGCCACGGCCUGCUGAGAAUCCUAAACCAAAGCCCCAAGCUGAACCAAAUACCAAUAUGGAAGCCACCCAUAAUAACAACAGCAAGGAAGGUGGCAACAACAAUAUCACAGCACAGACUUUUACAUUCCGUGAACUAGCCACAGCUACAAAGAAUUUCCGACAAGAAUGUCUAAUUGGUGAAGGAGGGUUUGAAAGAGUUUACAAGGGAAAACUUGGGAAGACCAACCAGGUAGUGGCUGUGAAGCAACUUGAUAGAAAUGGGCUGCAAGGAAAUAGAGAAUUUCUUGUAGAGGUGUUGAUGUUGAGUCUCUUGCACCAUCAGAAUCUUAUAAAUCUUAUUGGAUAUUGUGCUGAUGGAGAUCAAAGACUUCUGGUAUACGAGUAUAUGGCUUCUGGAUCUCUUGAAGACCAUCUAUUAUUAGAACUUCCACCAGAGCAAAAGCCAUUAGAUUGGUUCACAAGAAUGAAAAUAGCAUUAGGUGCUGCUAAAGGACUAGAGUAUUUGCACAAUAAGGCUAAUCCCCCUGUGAUAUAUCGGAACCUGAAACCAUCAAAAAUUUUGCUGGACGAGGAAUUUAAUGCAAAACUGUCCGAUUUCGGGCUAGCCAAGCUGGGACCUACAGGGGAUAGAAAACAUAUUUCUGCAAGAGUAAUGGGAACAUAUGGUUACUGUGCUCCAGAGUACCAAAGAACAGGCCAAUUGAGUGUUAAAUCAGAUGUAUACAGCUUCGGAGUUGUUUUACUGGAGUUGAUUACAGGAAGAAGAGCCAUUGACAUCACCAAGCCAACCGAGGAGCAAAAUCUUGUCGCCUGGGCACAACCAGUGUUCAAGGAUCCAAAUAGAUACCCAGAACUUGCUGAUCCACUUCUUCGUGGAGAAUUCCCAGUUAGGGCCCUAAAUCAAGCAGUUGCAGUGGCUGCAAUGUGUCUACAAGAGGAAGGAGGGGGGGAGUUCGGCCAUUGAUGAGCGAUGUAGUUAGAGCUCUGAGUUUCCCUGGAGGAGUUCCAGAAGCAGGCGCUGUUACACAUGACAGUGGGGUAUGACAAAGACAGCACUCGAGACCGAGAAGUGGCAGAAGCCAUAGAAUGGGACUCAAAUUCAAGGCUUGCAGUGUCAAGGAGUGGAAGUGCUUCUUCAUUGUAAUAUAUCAUCUGUUGCAUAUAUACAUGUAAAUGGUUAUGAAUGGAAAUGGGUUUUCUCUGGAGACAUUUUAUAUUGUUCUAUAUAAACCCAAUCUAGAUUGAGAAAAGCUACUAUGUCGUGCCUUUCAUGUUAUCCUCAAGGCACCAAUAUGAGACCCUCAUCAUCAUGUUAAAUCUGUCAUUGCCUCUUAUAAAGCACAAUUUUCUGCAAGCACGAAAGUCAUCAAGCUUCCUACAAUCAAUC
Molecule: unclassified non-coding RNA, 1591 nt
Filed under: Hevea brasiliensis (rubber tree)
Lineage: Eukaryota; Viridiplantae; Streptophyta; Magnoliopsida; Malpighiales; Euphorbiaceae
Source: RNAcentral